Molecule: long non-coding RNA, 1134 nt
Filed under: Ursus maritimus (polar bear)
Lineage: Eukaryota; Metazoa; Chordata; Mammalia; Carnivora; Ursidae
Description: lncRNA (ENSUMAG00000015091.1)
Source: RNAcentral
AGCUGACAGGCUCCGAGGGGGAGCACUGGCCAGGCUGGGGCUCUGGGACCCCGCAGCCUUGCCUCUGCCCCUGUGGGAAGUGGGAGGCGAGGCCGGGGUGAGGGGAGGGUAGCUCCCAGCCCGAAGCCUUCAGGGGCAUUCCUUUCCUUGGGGGGCAGAGGUGUCCCGGCACAGUCCUAGGGCUCCCCCUGGCCCAGGCCAGCUGACAGGCUCCGAGGGGGAGCACUGGCCAGGCUGGGGCUCUGGGACCCCGCAGCCUUGCCUCUGCCCCUGUGGGAAGUGCCGGCUCUGAUGGGAGCCUGCCCCGCAGGGCUUGGCUUCCUGAGGCGGUUGGUGCCAGAACGGUCUCCUGGCCUCAGACCUGUGGUAGAGCUUGACAGCUCUUCUCCAGAAUCCUCUGUCUGAGGCCCGCGGAGCUGGGACAGGAUGGAAAACCCGUUCUGGGAGGGGGCUCCGGACCACCAGGACAAAACCUGACAGAGAAACCACCUUUCUAGGUCUUACUGCGCCAUUAGCCCGGGGGGGGGGGGCUGCUUUGGCCUCGGCAGCAGCGAGAUCCCUGUUGGCGGGGGUGCAGGCGAGGGAAUCUCAGCUUUAUCUCCCUUUCCUACAAGCAGUCUCAGUUUGUGGACCAACUUUCUUCCUGGGGAAGAACUGAGAGCAGCCUGCGGCCCCCUGCUCAACAGAUGGAGCCCGGGUCCCACGCUUGCCAGGAAUCGAACGUUCCCCGGGCGGUUGCAUGUGGCUGGCUGGUGUAUUUCCACCUCCACUGUCCAGAUGAGGAAACUGAGGCUUCGGAGAGGUUAGCAUCCGGCUCAGGCACACCAGUGAUCGGGGAUCACAUUGUUCUGGGGAGUCCGGGCCUCCUUCCUAUCCAGGGCCGGGAUGCUAGAGUACAGUGACUCCCAGCUCCUUCUCCUAGUUCUGUAUGGAGCCUUGAGCCGAAAGCCUCUGCGGAUGAAUCAGCAUCCAGAAGAGUGGUUCUCAACUACACACUCGGAUCACCUGGAGCAAAGCGGGCAGAUUCAUACAAGGGAGCUGCAAGCAGAAGGCUCAGAACUCAGUCAGAACUCGGUAGAUCUCAACCUGGCCCGAGAGCUGAGUUUAUAUCCCUUCGUCUUGCAUGCCCUCUGA